AACCACUUCGGUGGUCAUCCGCAAAAAUUGGAACGAUACAGAGAAGAUUAGCAUGGCCCCUGCGCAGGGAUGACACGCACAAAUCGAGAAGUAUGCUGUAUAGAC
This 105-nucleotide small nuclear RNA is filed under the name Pythium aphanidermatum DAOM BR444. Lineage: Eukaryota; Oomycota; Peronosporomycetes; Pythiales; Pythiaceae. The record is from RNAcentral.